This 493-nucleotide ribosomal RNA is filed under the name uncultured bacterium. RNAcentral describes it as "bacterial SSU rRNA". It matches the Rfam family "Bacterial small subunit ribosomal RNA", at positions 903 to 1397 of the family's 1533-position model. The record is from RNAcentral.
AAAUGAAUUGACGGGGACCCGCACAAGCAGCGGAGCAUGUGGUUUAAUUCGAAGCAACGCGAAAAACCUUACCAAGACUUGACAUCGUAUGACCGCUAUAGAAAUAUGGUUUUCCCUUCGGGGACAUAUAGACAGGUGGUGCAUGGUUGUCGUCAGCUCGUGUCGUGAGAUGUUGGGUUAAGUCCCGCAACGAGCGCAACCCUUAUCCUUGGUUGCCAAUAUUAAGUUAGGAACUCCAGGGAGACUGCCGUGGCUAACACGGAGGAAGGUGGGGAUGACGUCAAAUCAUCAUGCCCCUUACGUCUUGGGCUACACACGUGCUACAAUGGCCAUUACAAAGAGCAGCAAGACAGCAAUGUUAAGCAAAUCUCAAAAAGAUGGCCUCAGUUCGGAUUGUGGGCUGCAACUCGCCCACAUGAAGCAGGAGUUGCUAGUAAUCCCGAAUCAGAAUGUCGGGGUGAAUGCGUUCCCGGGUCUUGUACACACCGCCCGU